UACGAGGGGGGCGAGCGUUGUUCGGAAUCACUGGGCGUAAAGAGUGCGUAGGCGGCUCUGAAAGUUAGGAGUGAAAGCCCCAGGCUUAACCUGGGAAUUGCUCUUAAAACUCCAGAGCUAGAAUUUGGGAGAGGAUAGCGGAAUUCUCAGUGUAGCAGUGAAAUGCGUAGAUAUUGAGAGGAACACCAGUGGCGUAAGCGGCUAUCUGGACCAACAUUGACGCUGAGGCACGAAAGCGUGGGGAUCAAACAGG
This 253-nucleotide ribosomal RNA is filed under the name uncultured bacterium. RNAcentral's name for it is "partial 16S ribosomal RNA". It matches the Rfam family "Bacterial small subunit ribosomal RNA", at positions 524 to 776 of the family's 1533-position model. The record is from RNAcentral.